CCCCGCGAGUGGAUAAACGCAUCCUUAUCCACUUGACCCCUCCUCUCACCCGUCCUGCUCUCUCCCUCUUGGUCACUACUCACUCCCUCUCCUCCCCUCUCGUCCCUGCCCCCUCUCCCUAUCGUUUCUCCAUUGCCACAGCAGAGAAGGUGGCGGUGAUGGCAUCAGUGGCUCCCGCGGGCCGGAUCCGGCGAUGGCAGUGGCGUCGGCGGCUCCCGCUGGCGAAUCCGGCGGCGGCGGUGUUUCUGGCAGGUGGAUCUAGCGGUUCUCUACCCCCUCGUCCUCACCCUCCGUGCCCAAGCUUCUCCCGCGGCUGCAGCGGUGGCAUCGGCGCUCCUGCAGGCAGAUCCGGCGGAGGUGGCGGCGACGGUGUUUCCAGUGGGUGUAUCUAGCGGUCCUCUACCCCCUCCUUCUCUGCCGCAAGCUUCUCUCGCAGAUCAGGCGGCGGCGGCGGCUUCUACCUUCGAUCCAUUGGCGACGGCGAUGUCAGCGAGCAGGCGGAUCUGGCCGAGGGGACCUGCCCGCCGCCGCCGACGUCCCCUCGGGCGGAUCUGCUGGUGUUGUUGAUUAGCUUCUGGAAGGUUCUCAAAGAUGUUGUCCUGCCUGUCGGCAUGGCUGGUGAACCUGCGACGCAACCCGCUGGCCCGUCUCCACAUGAACGUCGUCGCCUCCCACCUCCACAAAUACGGGCUCCGGUACGAUGAUCUGUUCGAUGCCUACCAGUACCAUGGCCUCGACAUCAAGGAGGCCCUGGCGCGGCUGCCGCGGGAGGUGGUGGACGCCCACAACCAGCGGCUCAAGCGCACCAUGGACCUCUCCACGAAGCACCAGUACCUCCCCGCCGAUGAGCAGGCGAUGCAGACAACAUUAAGAGGCUAUUUAUCUGAUGCCUACCUAUCCAGCCACCGUGUUUGGCGAGAACGACGGCGAUGGGAUAAGCCUACUACUUUAUUUCAAGCUAUCUGGCAGUUUUGACAAGGAAAUUUCUCCUCAACUAAAACAAUCAAUCAAGAAGCAUGGUUUGCUAGCUAGACCUAUUGUAUAUCCUUUGCUGGUAUUAUAUUAGAUGAUGGAAAGCAGAUGCCUACCUAUCCAGCCACCUUGUUUGGCGAGAACGACGGAGAUGGGGAAGCCUACUGCUUUAUUUCAGCUAUCUGACAGUUUUGACAAGGAAAUUCCUCCUCAACUAAAACAAUCUAUGAAGGUAUAUUCAGAUUGCUUGCAUUUUCUUCUCACCCUUUUUCAGUGCCCCUUGGCCAAACUGCUGAUGGCUACUUUGUUAUACUACAGAAGAUUGGUUUGUUAGACCUACUGUUUAUCCUUUGUUGGUAUAUUAGAUUAGAUGAUGGAAGGGUCUUUCUUAGGCUCGGUACAAUGGGACCUGUACUAAGUAAGUUACGAUACAUGAACUGGCAGAGAUGGUACUGUGUUGGCGCUCUAUUCAAGUUCCACAUACUUUGGUACUUAACCCAGGAAAUCAAUAUAACAUGGUGCUUCAAAAAAAUUGCAGAUUAAUCAAUAUAACAUGGUGCUUCAAAAAAAUUGCAGAUUAGAUCAAUUCAUUAAUUUCAUGCUACUAUGAUAUGAUGUCAUAUUAACUUUGUUACCUAGAAUUUCUUGAAUUAUAUAAAUCUAAUGAUAUUGUUAUAGCUGUGAUUGGAACUCAGAAACUUCAACUACCAAGACAAGAAUGGUUAGUAAUGUCGCAUUCCUCUAAAUGUUUUUUUGUUGGGAGUUUAUGCAAACUGCUUAGAAUAUUUGAUGUUGUCCUUCCAAAUCAUUACACAAAUGCAUCAAAAUAUGUUCUGUCUUUGUUGAUGGUUGCUGAUGAACUUAUGGCCCUGAGAAUACUUACAAAUGCAUUUUGUAUGUUCAGGCAUUGUGAAUUUGUGAUCCCCAAUACAAUUGAAGUUGUUCACGGAGCUGUUCUUGGCACGAUGGCUUCUUUGGUGAUGGAGCAGAACUCUUUGAAUGUUUUUUUUAUCACACCACAAUAACAAAUUUUAUUUGUGGUACCAGUUUUGUUUGUAUAUAUAUAGGAUAGGAUGUGUGCAGCGUUCUUGUUGUGUUUGGAUGUAAUAUGGCGGGGGAGUUCCUA
Molecule: RNA transcript, 2098 nt
Organism: Oryza sativa Japonica Group (Japanese rice)
Lineage: Eukaryota; Viridiplantae; Streptophyta; Magnoliopsida; Poales; Poaceae
Gene name: cytochrome b-c1 complex subunit 7-1, mitochondrial
Source: RefSeq, a predicted model, not a curated record